CAGGACGAACGCUGGCGGCGUGCUUAACACAUGCAAGUCGAACGAUGAAGUGGAGCUUGCUCCACGGAUUAGUGGCGAACGGGUGAGGAACACGUGAGAAACCUGCCUCGGAUUUUGGGAUAACAAAUGGAAACGUUUGCUAAUACCAAAUAACGUCGGAGAGUCACAUGGCUUUCUGACGAAAGGAAUUCCGAUUCGAGAGGGUCUCGCGGCCUAUCAGCUAGUUGGCGGGGUAAUGGCCCACCAAGGCAACGACGGGUAGCUGGUCUGAGAGGAUGGUCAGCCACACUGGGACUGAGACACGGCCCAGACUCCUACGGGAGGCAGCAGUGGGGAAUCUUGCGCAAUGGGCGAAAGCCUGACGCAGCAACGCCGCGUGCGGGAAGAAGGCUUUCGGGCUGUAAACCGCUUUCAGCAGGAACGAAAAUGACGGUACCUGCAGAAGAAGGAGCGGCCAACUAUGUGCCAGCAGCCGCGGUAA
Molecule: ribosomal RNA, 481 nt
Filed under: uncultured bacterium
Lineage: Bacteria
Description: bacterial SSU rRNA
Rfam family: Bacterial small subunit ribosomal RNA
Source: RNAcentral